GAUGAACGCUGACAGAAUGCUUAACACAUGCAAGUCUUUGGCGAAUCUGUGCUUGCACAGGCUAGCCAAGGCGGACGGGUGAGUAACGCGUAAAGAACUUGCCCUGCAGACAGGGAUAACAGACGGAAACGACUGAUAACACCUGAUACAGUUGCCGGCACGCAUGUGCCUGGCAAUGAAAAGAGAUGCUGCAGAAGAGCUUUGCGUCCUAUUAGCUUGUUGGUGAGGUGACGGCUCACCAAGGCGAUGAUAGGUAGCCGGCCUGAGAGGGUGAACGGCCACAAGGGGACUGAGAUACGGCCCUUACUCCUACGGGAGGCAGCAGUGGGGAAUAUUGGACAAUGGGGGCAACCCUGAUCCAGCAAUUCUGUGUGCACGAAGAAGGUUUUCGGAUUGUAAAGUGCUUUCAGCAGGGAAGAAGAAAGUGACGGUACCUGCAGAAGAAGCGACGGCUAAAUACGUG
RNAcentral lists this ribosomal RNA (463 nucleotides) under uncultured bacterium. RNAcentral's name for it is "partial 16S ribosomal RNA". It matches the Rfam family "Bacterial small subunit ribosomal RNA", at positions 28 to 507 of the family's 1533-position model. The record is from RNAcentral.